UCACAGUGGUUAGGAAAUCCCUUUGUCUAAAAGCCAUCAUUUCCUACUUGGUCUGAUUAGAAAAUUGUCAACAAUUGUACCUCCAAAACCACGACUUUGGGAUGUCCACGAGGCUCUUGUCACGUAGAAGGCCAUGACUGCUUACAUGUGACUUCCACUGAAGCAAGGCUUUGUUUAGCAACCCCUAGCUUACAAAGGGGACUUCAUGCACACAGGAGGUUGCAAUCCUGUCUACAUAGUGCAGGUCCUAGAAGAUCAGUCAGAGGCCAGCUGGCUGAAACCAGCAAAAGCCUACUCCACAGGGGCUGUGAAGGAAGAGGACAUUGCAUGGGACAGGCUCAAAGAUCUUUCAUGAUGUG
Molecule: long non-coding RNA, 359 nt
Filed under: Cricetulus griseus (Chinese hamster)
Lineage: Eukaryota; Metazoa; Chordata; Mammalia; Rodentia; Cricetidae
Description: lncRNA (ENSCGRG00000025809.1)
Source: RNAcentral